Molecule: long non-coding RNA, 1601 nt
Filed under: Rattus norvegicus (Norway rat)
Lineage: Eukaryota; Metazoa; Chordata; Mammalia; Rodentia; Muridae
Description: long non-coding RNA NONRATT004211
Source: RNAcentral
CUAAUACGUGAUUCUGUCUGCACCAGUUGUAUCCUAAUGGUUGGUCUGAUCAUUGGAACCUUUAAUGAACAAUGUUAAUCUGAAGUAAGGAUUAGCUUUAUAUCACAUGUGGACACUUUCAGUUACAAAUGCUAGUGCGGGUGAGGGCAGAGACACCUGCCUUCAGGUUAUUGGGCCCUGGGAGGCUGAAGUUUCACAGCGUCAUACUGUGCUCUUCCCUCGGAUGCACAUUCUUGAAAUGACUUCCCUGAAACUUAAGGAGGAAAUCAGAAAGGCACUGCAUUAUCUGCCCUACACUGUAAGGGGAGCAUGCUGUGAUAGAGGCUCGCCCUGGUCCCACAGACAGGAGGCAGCUGUGAGUGGAUCCAGGCGCCCUCAAAGAGUGGCUUUCUCCCCCCUUACUCUGCCUAUCUAUCAACACUGUUUUGGAUGGAGCCUGUGCUGGUGUGGACAGGGUCUCAUGCCAAGACUCUCCUCCAUCAGGCAAGUGCACCUAGGACUGGCCACAGCGCCCCAAAGAAAUACCUCACCCCAGUUUCAGGGUCCUCCCUCCUGAGCCUAGCUUUGCCAGGGUCCUGGGACAAUGCGAAUGGUUUUGAGCUGACCUCUGUAGGCAAAUGCUGAUGUUGGAUAAAGAACUGAAAAAUGUGCUCAACUUUCUCAUCUUUUCUAUUUUAUUUUUGUAAUUUAUAUUGUACACACCCUGGAAGUCACUAUUUUGGACAUGUAUUUUUAUAAACCGGGUAACUAAUGAUUAUCUGGAAUUUGCACUAGGUUAGUUUUUGUUGUUGUUGGCUUAAUUUUCAGCCAAAAGUGGAAUGACUGCCCCUUCCAGGUCUGAGUUUUCAUUUCAAGCGCAGGUCUGGAGGGCAGACAUGUCCAGCCAGGGUAGGAGCGCGGCCUCAGAACUCGGGCUGCAGAGUGCCUCAAGCACUGGGCCUGCAGUCAGAACUGUGCUCUCAUCUUUAGAACACAAAGACCAGUCCCCGGUGUUAGAAAGAGAAAGCCCUCCAUUGGCCCUUGUUGACAGCCAGGGCCUGCAUCUAAAGUAAAAAGCCCAACACUGGUUUCAUCUGGGCUGGGUGUGUGAGUCUGUCUGCUAUGACUCCUCUGAUGCCUCAUGCUGGUGGUAAGUACAGUAUGACCUUUCAGGUUGUGUAUCUCAAAAGUAACUGCCUAAUGUUUUAUAAUAAAAUAUAUCAUGUGUUUUGAUUGGUGGAAAAAUAAUACAAACUACAUUUUAAAAGAGAAAUGUACAGCAUGUCCAAUCCCUGUGUGUUUCAAAGUGACAAUUGACUGACUGUAUCUUUCCACAUCACCAUUUUGAUUACAAACUUAACACGAAUAGAUGUUGAAGUGUCGUAAUUUCAGACAUUCAAAAGUGUUUUCAAACCCAAAGUUAGGAGUGCUGCUGUUCGUUCUCUCACAGAGAAGCUCUUGCAAAUCUCUGCACCUGUUUUCAAAACAAUGACAGUCAGUUUUGACUUUAAGAAAAUUGUACAAUAUGGUUGGAAUAUUGGUGACGUUGUAUUCUCCCAGGAUGUAACCAGGAGAACCUGCCAAGCUGUCUUUAUGUAUACGUCUAAAAGCCAUUAAUGGUG